This 696-nucleotide ribosomal RNA is filed under the name uncultured bacterium. RNAcentral describes it as "bacterial SSU rRNA". It matches the Rfam family "Bacterial small subunit ribosomal RNA", at positions 32 to 715 of the family's 1533-position model. The record is from RNAcentral.
AACGCUAGCUACAGGCUUAACACAUGCAAGUCGAGGGGAAACGACAUUGGAAGCUUGCUUCCGAUGGGCGUCGACCGGCGCACGGGUGAGUAACGCGUAUCCAACCUGCCCAUCACUUGGGGAUAACCUUGCGAAAGUAAGACUAAUACCCAAUGAUAUUUAAAGAAGGCAUCUGAAUUAAAUUAAAGAUUUAUCGGUGAUGGAUGGGGAUGCGUCUGAUUAGCUUGUUGGCGGGGUAACGGCCCACCAAGGCGACGAUCAGUAGGGGUUCUGAGAGGAAGGUCCCCCACAUUGGAACUGAGACACGGUCCAAACUCCUACGGGAGGCAGCAGUGAGGAAUAUUGGUCAAUGGGCGGAAGCCUGAACCAGCCAAGUAGCGUGCAGGAUGACGGCCCUAUGGGUUGUAAACUGCUUUUAUACAGGGAUAAAGUUAGCCACGUGUGGUUAUUUGCAGGUACUGUAUGAAUAAGGAUCGGCUAACUCCGUGCCAGCAGCCGCGGUAAUACGGAGGAUCCAAGCGUUAUCCGGAUUUAUUGGGUUUAAAGGGUGCGUAGGUGGUUUGAUAAGUCAGCGGUGAAAGUUUGCAGCUUAACUGUAAAAAUGCCGUUGAAACUGUAUGUCUUGAGUGUACAAGAGGUGGGCGGAAUUCGUGGUGUAGCGGUGAAAUGCUUAGAUAUCACGAAGAACUCCGAUUG